GCUCCAGUGGCGCAAUUGGUUAGCGCACGGUACUUAUAAUCAGUACACUGUGUAUGAGCAAUGCCGGGGUUGUGAGUUCGAGCCUCACCUGGAGCA
This 96-nucleotide transfer RNA is filed under the name Drosophila virilis. It matches the Rfam family "tRNA". From Rfam's summary of the family: Transfer RNA (tRNA) molecules are approximately 80 nucleotides in length. The record is from Rfam by way of RNAcentral. Lineage: Eukaryota; Metazoa; Arthropoda; Insecta; Diptera; Drosophilidae.